UUUUUUUUUUACUAAGCAUGCAUUUAUUGGUUUAAAAAAGUAUAAACUGCGAAAAUAUAUUUUAUAGGAAGAAUAAGGAAACAAUUCAAAAUGAAAAGCCACGUGGUAGUUGUGUCUGAUUUCCCCUCCUCCACUUUAGAAGUGAGAGAAAUGAUAAGAACAGAAAUGCAGCCUUGCAAAGGGACUCAUUUAAGUUUUUCCAUUUUUUUUUAAUAAAAUGGCAUCAACUGCUGAAAGCAUUACGGCCUUUGUUAUGCUACAUAAUACUGAUAUAAAAUGUGAAUAGUACAAAGUUCAUCAUAUAUAAUAUAAGGUUUUAAUAUAUUACAUUUGUUUCUACAUAAACAGACUAUAAAUAUAUGUGCCAUAGCAUGUUUUACAGUCAUGGUUCCCAGCAUCUCACACUAUGGUACCAAAUGGAAAAUACAUUUUCUUUUUUAAAAAGGAAAGAACAAGGGCAGAAACCAGUAGAAAUAGCUUUACGUGUUAAAAGUCUAAAUAAUAGAAUAGAUGUUGUUAAAACUUUGGCUAUAAAAUAAUUUUGAAAUCUGGCUAACAGUCCUUCAGAGAGUGAACAAACCAAAUCAGCUUUUACUAGAGUGUAGAGGCCAAAUUACUAAGAUACUGACGGAUUGGGGUGAAGAGAGGGGGAAGGUUCAGGGAAGGGAGAAGGAACCAAAGAGUAAAAUCCUUCCUGAAGCUUUGACACCACAGCUUGAUACGGAACCUACUGCAUUCAGGCUCAGACAUAUAUCACAUCAGGACAGAUAUGUGGGUAUUCACCCAGAAGACACCAGAAGCUGGUUUAUACAAUCAGAACUCUUCAACACGACAGGGAGCCUCCGUCUGAAUGUCCUUUCUUUAUGGUGCUCUGAAUAAAGGAUCGGCCUGGGAGACAAGGAGCCAGAGCUGCAUCAUUUCCUUCCUGGGGCUUGGCCAGGAGACGCGUAAGAGUCCGGAAGGCACUCUCAUUAGGAGUCGGAAACAGCCCAAGGAGCUCUCAUUUAGCCCAACCGGGAAGAGCACGCAACCUUCUAAAACCAGUAACCUCAUCUGAAGCCCUUUACAUUUCCUCACAGACCCCAUGCCCACCUCCACAACGGCCAACACAAUGCAUCCGCAGGCUCCAGCGUGCUCUCAGAGCAAGCCAACGUCUUCCUUUCUGUCAAUCCAAACCCCACACGUAAGACUUGGCUCAGGACCCAUAUCUCAAACAAAGGGUCUUGGGUGGACUCGGCCCUAAAGGUCUUUCCCAUUUUCAACACCUAAAGCACUUGCAUUGCCCAGUUUAUCUUCUGGUUUUACAGAGAGGUGUCAACUCCCCAGGUGUUGCCACUUCAUGGACAGAUGCAGCCAUUUCUUGAACUCCUUUUGUUAUAACCCACGGGGAGACCCACAGUCAGGGGCAUCAGACACGCUUUUAAAUGCAUACACAGAAGGCCAACACUGGUAGAAAGCACAAACACAUUCUUGAGUCACAAACAUCUUCUCAGGA
Molecule: long non-coding RNA, 1495 nt
Filed under: Canis lupus familiaris (dog)
Lineage: Eukaryota; Metazoa; Chordata; Mammalia; Carnivora; Canidae
Description: lncRNA (ENSCAFG00000052121.1, ENSCAFG00805007291.1)
Source: RNAcentral